GCCUAUGGCCAUGCUACCCUGAACAAGCCCGAUCCCAUCUGAUCUCGGAAGCUAAGCAGAGUCUGGCCUGGUUAGUACUUAGAUGGGAGACCACCUAAGAAGACCAGGUGCCUUAGGCA
This 119-nucleotide ribosomal RNA is filed under the name Pteropus alecto (black flying fox). The record is from RNAcentral. Lineage: Eukaryota; Metazoa; Chordata; Mammalia; Chiroptera; Pteropodidae.